CUCCGACUUCAUGGGGUCGAGUUGCAGACCCCAAUCCGAACUGAGACCGGCUUUUUGGGAUUCGCUCCACCUUACGGUAUCGCAGCCCUCUGUACCGGCCAUUGUAGCAUGCGUGAAGCCCAAGACAUAAGGGGCAUGAUGAUUUGACGUCAUCCCCACCUUCCUCCGAGUUGACCCCGGCAGUCUCCCAUGAGUCCCCGGCAUAACCCGCUGGCAACAUAGGACGAGGGUUGCGCUCGUUGCGGGACUUAACCCAACAUCUCACGACACGAGCUGACGACAACCAUGCACCACCUGUGUACGAGUGUCCAAAGAGAACCCCGUCUCGGGGGCUUUCUCGUACAUGUCAAGCCUUGGUAAGGUUCUUCGCGUUGCAUCGAAUUAAUCCGCAUGCUCCGCCGCUUGUGCGGGUCCCCGUCAAUUCCUUUGAGUUUUAGCCUUGCGGCCGUACUCCCCAGGCGGGGCACUUAAUGCGUUAGCUGCGGCACGGAACUCGUGGAAUGAGCCCCACACCUAGUGCCCAACGUUUACGGCAUGGACUACCAGGGUAUCUAAUCCUGUUCACUCCCCAUGCUUUCGCUCCUCAGCGUCAGUUGCGGCCCAGAGACCUGCCUUCGCCAUCGGUGUUCCUCCUGAUAUCUGCGCAUUCCACCGCUACACCAGGAAUUCCAGUCUCCCCUACCGCACUCUAGUCUGCCCGUACCCGAUGCAAGCCCGAGGUUGAGCCUCGGGAUUUCACACCAGACGCGACAGACCGCCUACGAGCUCUUUACGCCCAAUAAUUCCGGACAACGCUUGCGCCCUACGUAUUACCGCGGCUGCUGGCACGUAGUUAGCCGGCGCUUCUUCUGCAGGUACCGUCACUUGCGCUUCUUCCCUGCUGAAAGAGGUUUACAACCCGAAGGCCGUCAUCCCUCACGCGGCGUCGCUGCAUCAGGCUUGCGCCCAUUGUGCAAUAUUCCCCACUGCUGCCUCCCGUAGGAGUCUGGGCCGUGUCUCAGUCCCAGUGUGGCCGGUCGCCCUCUCAGGCCGGCUACCCGUCGACGCCUUGGUAGGCCAUCACCCCACCAACAAGCUGAUAGGCCGCGAGCCCAUCCCCCACCGAAAAACUUUCCAACCCACACCAUGCGAUGCGAGCUCAUAUCCGGUAUUAGACCCCGUUUCCAAGGCUUAUCCCGAAGUGGAGGGCAGGUUGCUCACGUGUUACUCACCCGUUCGCCACUGAUCCACCCAGCAAGCUGGGCUUCAC
Molecule: ribosomal RNA, 1249 nt
Filed under: uncultured bacterium
Lineage: Bacteria
Description: partial 16S ribosomal RNA
Source: RNAcentral